RNAcentral lists this ribosomal RNA (527 nucleotides) under uncultured bacterium. RNAcentral's name for it is "bacterial SSU rRNA". It matches the Rfam family "Bacterial small subunit ribosomal RNA", at positions 303 to 821 of the family's 1533-position model. The record is from RNAcentral.
AUCGGCCACACUGGAACUGAGACACGGUCCAGACACCUACGGGUGGCAGCAGUAGGGAAUAUUGCGCAAUGGGCGAAAAGCCUGACGCAGCGAUGCCGCGUGAGUGACGAAGGUCUUAGGAUUGUAAAGCUCUUUUCUGAGGGAAGAAUAGGUCCGGGAGGAAAUGCCUGGAUUGUGACGGUACCUCAGGAAUAAGGAACGGCUAACUCCGUGCCAGCAGCCGCGGUAAUACGGAGGUUCCAAGCGUUGUUCGGAAUUACUGGGCGUAAAGGGAGCGCAGGCGGACAGGUCAGUUUAAAGUGGAAUCCCAGGGCUCAACCCUGGACGUGCUUUGGAUACUGCCUGUCUUGAGUUCGUGAGAGGAAAGUGGAAUUCAGGGUGUAGCGGUGAAAUGCUUAGAUAUCCUGAGGAACACCAGUGGCGAAAGCGACUUUCUGGCACGAAACUGACGCUGAGGCUCGAAAGCAUGGGUAGCGAACGGGAUUAGAUACCCCGGUAGUCCAUGCCGUAAACGUUGUAUACUAGGU